This 98-nucleotide signal recognition particle RNA is filed under the name Sulfuricurvum sp. RIFCSPHIGHO2_02_FULL_43_9. RNAcentral describes it as "signal recognition particle sRNA small type". It matches the Rfam family "Bacterial small signal recognition particle RNA". Rfam says of the family: The signal recognition particle (SRP) is a universally conserved ribonucleoprotein involved in the co-translational targeting of proteins to membranes. The record is from RNAcentral. RNAcentral also lists the same sequence under 6 other names. Lineage: Bacteria; Pseudomonadati; Campylobacterota; Epsilonproteobacteria; Campylobacterales; Sulfurimonadaceae.
CCUCUAGACCUGUGCAAGGGUGCGUUUAGACAUCGUGUCAGGGUAGGAAUACAGCAGCACACCUAGACGUGUUUUGUGCCGCAGGUAUCUGGGGGAGU